This 82-nucleotide microRNA precursor is filed under the name Asparagus officinalis (garden asparagus). Its description in RNAcentral is "miR12147 stem-loop (aof-MIR12147)". The record is from miRBase by way of RNAcentral. Lineage: Eukaryota; Viridiplantae; Streptophyta; Magnoliopsida; Asparagales; Asparagaceae.
CAGACGCAAUGUGGAGCAACUGCUCUUGAAGCUUGUACAUUUGGCUGAUCGUCGAGAUGUGAAGGACUUUGUCUUGCUACAG